UGGGGAAUAUUGCACAAUGGGCGCAAGCCUGAUGCAGCCAUGCCGCGUGUGUGAAGAAGGCCUUCGGGUUGUAAAGCACUUUCAGCGAGGAGGAAGGUGGUGAACUUAAUACGUUCAUCAAUUGACGUUACUCGCAGAAGAAGCACCGGCUAACUCCGUGCCAGCAGCCGCGGUAAUACGGAGGGUGCAAGCGUUAAUCGGAAUUACUGGGCGUAAAGCGCACGCAGGCGGUUUGUUAAGUCAGAUGUGAAAUCCCCGGGCUCAACCUGGGAACUGCAUUUGAAAACUGGCAAGCUAGAGUCUCGUAGAGGGGGGUAGAAUUCCAGGUGUAGCGGUGAAAUGCGUAGAGAUCUGGAGGAAUACCGGUGGCGAAGGCGGCCCCCUGGACGAAGACUGACGCUCAGGUGCGAAAAGCGUGGGGAGCAAAACAGGAUUAGAUACCCUGGUAGUCCACGCUGUAAAACGAUGUCGAUUUUGGAGGUUGUGCCCUUGAGGCGUGGCUUCCGGAGCUAACGCGUUAAAUCGACCGCCUGGGGAGUACGGCCGCAAGGUUAAAAACUCAAAAGGAAUUGACGGGGUC
This 580-nucleotide ribosomal RNA is filed under the name uncultured bacterium. RNAcentral describes it as "partial 16S ribosomal RNA". It matches the Rfam family "Bacterial small subunit ribosomal RNA", at positions 355 to 920 of the family's 1533-position model. The record is from RNAcentral.